RNAcentral lists this ribosomal RNA (393 nucleotides) under uncultured bacterium. Its description in RNAcentral is "partial 16S ribosomal RNA". It matches the Rfam family "Bacterial small subunit ribosomal RNA", at positions 523 to 918 of the family's 1533-position model. The record is from RNAcentral.
AUACGGAGGAUCCGAGCGUUAUCCGGAUUUAUUGGGUUUAAAGGGAGCGUAGGCGGACGCUUAAGUCAGUUGUGAAAGUUUGCGGCUCAACCGUAAAAUUGCAGUUGAUACUGGGUGUCUUGAGUACAGUAGAGGCAGGCGGAAUUCGUGGGGUAGCGGUGAAAUGCUUAGAUAUCACGAAGAACUCCGAUUGCGAAGGCAGCCUGCUGGACUGUAACUGACGCUGAUGCUCGAAAGUGUGGGUAUCAAACAGGAUUAGAUACCCUGGUAGUCCACACAGUAAACGAUGAAUACUCGCUGUUUGCGAUAUACAGUAAGCGGCCAAGCGAAAGCGUUAAGUAUUCCACCUGGGGAGUACGCCGGCAACGGUGAAACUCAAAUGAAUUGGCGGGG